RNAcentral lists this ribosomal RNA (913 nucleotides) under uncultured archaeon. RNAcentral's name for it is "bacterial SSU rRNA". It matches the Rfam family "Archaeal small subunit ribosomal RNA", at positions 1 to 921 of the family's 1478-position model. The record is from RNAcentral.
UUCCGGUUGAUCCUGCCGGAGGUCACUGCUAUUGGGAUUCGACUAAGCCAUGCGAGUCGAGAGGGUUCGGCCCUCGGCUGACGGCUCAGUAACACGUGGAUAAUCUGCCCUAUGGUGGAGGAUAACCUCGGGAAACUGAGAAUAAUACUCCAUAGGUCUAGGAUACUGGAAUGUACCUAGGCUCAAAACUCCGGUGCCAUAGGAUGAGUCUGCGGACUAUCAGGUUGUAGUCAGGGUAAAGACCUGACUAGCCUACGACGGAUAUGGGUUGUGAGAGCAAUAACCCAGAGAUGAUAUCUGAGACACGAUAUCAGGCCCUACGGGGCGCAGCAGGCGCGAAAACUUCACAAUGUGCGAAAGCGCGAUGAGGGAAUCCCAAGUGCUUGCACGUAAGUGUAAGCUGUUUUUAUGUUUAAAACGCAUGGAGAGUAAGAGCUGGGUAAGACGGGUGCCAGCCGCCGCGGUAAUACCUGCAGCUCAAGUGGUGGCCGCUAUUAUUGGGCCUAAAACGUCCGUAGCCUGUUUAAUAAAUGCCUGGGUAAAUCGUGUAGCUUAACUAUACGAAUUCCGGGUAGACUGUUAAACUUGAGACCGGGAGAAGUUAGAGGUACUCCUGGGGUAGAGGUGAAAUUCUGUAAUCCUAGGGGGACCACCAGUGGCGAAGGCGUCUGACUAGAACGGGUCUGACGGUGAGGGACGAAGCCCUGGGGCGCAAACCGGAUUAGAUACCCGGGUAGUCCAGGGUGUAAACGCUGCUUGCUUGAUGUUAGUCGGGCUCCGAGCCCGAUUAGUGUCGGAGAGAAGUUGUUAAGCAAGCUGCCUGGGAAGUACGGUCGCAAGGCUGAAACUUAAAGGAAUUGGCGGGGAGCACAGCAACGGGUGGAGCGUGCGGUUUAAUUGGAAUCAACGCCGG